GCAGUGGUGGUUCAGUGGUAGAAUUCUCGCCUUCUAUGCAGGAGAUCCAGGUUCGAUUCCUGGCCAACGCA
Molecule: non-coding RNA, 71 nt
Organism: Trichechus manatus latirostris (Florida manatee)
Lineage: Eukaryota; Metazoa; Chordata; Mammalia; Sirenia; Trichechidae
Source: the annotation of a RefSeq genome assembly